Ahaetulla prasina is the source of this 1458-nucleotide long non-coding RNA. RefSeq lists it as uncharacterized. Lineage: Eukaryota; Metazoa; Chordata; Lepidosauria; Squamata; Colubridae. The record is from RefSeq and is a predicted model, not a curated record. The transcript has 3 exons.
CACUCGUCAACCCAUAGGGCCUCUUCUCCCAGCAGUGGGAAUGGUAUUGUCUCAAAGGAGGAAAACGGGAAAAGAUCUGCUCCACCCCCCCCCUUUUUUUCCCCCCCGGUAAUGGUAUCAACUGGUUUUUUAAAGAGACAGAGCAGAAGACACGGGUCCUUCCUUGGCUGUAAGCUGUACCGCCCUUACCUCCCUCCAUUCAUCCUGGCACCGCCUCUCCAAUUAGCAUAGACCAACCCCAUACUUCAAGGUAGUUUUCGUUCCACCGCCUCUUCCUUUUAAAGAUACAACCACCCAAUCGCGUUCUUUAAAGCGACACACAGCCUUUGCUAUUCCUCUCGCCCGCCGCCAAUCUCCUCCUGGAACUCCUCACCAUCACCCUGAAUGCAGCACGUUCGCUGUAACCGAUCGAAAGCCAUAAAAGUCUCGUGUGAGACCCAUAGCAGAUUUUUCAGUAAGAGUUCCUGGUUCUCUCGGUAGAAGGACCCCAGGCGGGCGGGCGGGCAGGCGGGCUGGCUAACACCUCCCAAGCCGAAAGCUCCUUUGCUAGGAGAGGCAUGCGAGGUUGAGGAGCACCUCCCCAGCCUAAACCACACCCAGCCCGGGCACACACAGCAUGCCCGGUUCCCACACCUCAAGGCCUCCCAACUCCCAGCUCUGGAAUACGUUAUCUCUGGGCCCUCCCCUUGGAAUCUAUUCCCUCCUGGGAAACUGCCAGUUCGCUGCAGUCCAUCACAUUACCCAGAGGUGGUAUUCAGCAGAUUCUGACUAGUUCUGGAGAAUCGGUAGCAGAAAUUUUGAGUAGUUCAGAGAACUGGCUGAUGAAUCCAAGUUAUUGUACCAACUAGCUGGAUAUCUGUGCUUCGCUACGAAACUAUGUGAUCCGGCUUGAUAAAUCGACACUUACAGCUUGAAAAUUAAUAAGUAGUUACGAUUGGCCUCUCCUCUCCCCUUCUUUCCCUCAGCUUUGCCCCACAGAUCCCUAUCAUAUCCCCCUUCUCUCCCUCAGCCUUGCCCCACAGAAACAUCUCCUAUCCUGUCCCCUUCUCUCCCUCAGCCUUGCCCCACAGAAGCCUCCCCUAUCCUAUCCCCUUCUCUCCCUCAGCCUUGCCCUACAGAAGCUUCCCCUAUCCUAUCCCCUGGUUGCUGCUGUGAAAGUAAAACUGAAAGUGAAACUCCUCUAUUUGUUUUGCAUUUGGAACAGAUUUCUUUUCAGGUGGGGAGGGGGAGUCGAACUCCUUAGCAUCAGUGUGUGUUAAUCAUAAUAUAUGAAAUACAAAUGCUCUGAUGGUCAUUUCGAAAAAUCCUUUCUUAGUGAGCACCUAGAAGCCAAGAGGAACAUAUGUGGCAUAAGUUUGUAAGGAACAUAUGCAGCAUAAGUUUGUAAGCUUUACAGUUCUGGAGAUUUCAUGAUUAUGGCGUGAGUGGUUUUCACUUUUAUAUAUAUAGAUUAGAGAG